Molecule: ribosomal RNA, 253 nt
Filed under: uncultured bacterium
Lineage: Bacteria
Description: partial 16S ribosomal RNA
Rfam family: Bacterial small subunit ribosomal RNA
Source: RNAcentral
UACGUAGGGUGCAAGCGUUGUCCGGAAUUAUUGGGCGUAAAGAGCUCGUAGGCGGUUUGUUGCGUCGGCUGUGAAAUCCCGAGGCUCAACCUCGGGUCUGCAGUCGAUACGAGCAAACUAGAGUGUUGCAGGGGAGACCGGAAUUCCUGGUGUAGCGGUGAAAUGCGCAGAUAUCAGGAGGAACACCGGUGGCGAAGGCGGGUCUCUGGGCAGCAACUGACGCUGAGGAGCGAAAGCGUGGGGAGCGAACAGG